GGGGAAUAUUGCACAAUGGGGGAAACCCUGAUGCAGCAACGCCGCGUGAAGGAAGAAGGCCUUCGGGUUGUAAACUUCUGUUAAUGGGGACGAUAAUGACGGUACCCAUAGAGGAAGCCACGGCUAACUACGUGCCAGCAGCCGCGGUAAUACGUAGGUGGCGAGCGUUGUCCGGAAUUACUGGGCGUAAAGGAUGCGUAGGCGGAUAAUUAAGUGAGAUGUGAAAUACCCGGGCUUAACCUGGGGGGUGCAUUUCAAACUGGUUGUCUAGAGUGCAGGAGAGGAAAGUGGAAUUUCUAGUGUAGCGGUGAAAUGCGUAGAUAUUAGGAAGAACACCAGUGGCGAAGGCGACUUUCUGGACUGUAACUGACGCUGAGGCAUGAAAGCGUGGGGAGCAAAC
This 400-nucleotide ribosomal RNA is filed under the name uncultured bacterium. RNAcentral describes it as "bacterial SSU rRNA". It matches the Rfam family "Bacterial small subunit ribosomal RNA", at positions 356 to 773 of the family's 1533-position model. The record is from RNAcentral.